GACGAACGCUGGCGGCGUGCCUAAUACAUGCAAGUUGAGCGCUGAAGGUUGGUACUUGUACCAACUGGAUGAGCAGCGAACGGGUGAGUAACGCGUGGGGAAUCUGCCUUUGAGCGGGGGACAACAUUUGGAAACGAAUGCUAAUACCGCAUAAAAACUUUAAACACAAGUUUUAAGUUUGAAAGAUGCAAUUGCAUCACUCAAAGAUGAUCCCGCGUUGUAUUAGCUAGUUGGUGAGGUAAAGGCUCACCAAGGCGAUGAUACAUAGCCGACCUGAGAGGGUGAGCGGCCACAUUGGGACUGAGACACGGCCCAAACGCCUACGGGAGGCAGCAGUAGGGAAGCUUCGGCAAUGGACGAAAGUCUGACCGAGCAACGCCGCGUGAGUGAAGAAGGGUUUCGGAUCGUAAAACUCUGUUGGUAGAGAAGAACGUUGGUGAGAGUGGAAAGCUCAUCAAGUGACGGUAACUACCCAGAAAGGGACGGCUAACUACGUG
Molecule: ribosomal RNA, 497 nt
Filed under: uncultured bacterium
Lineage: Bacteria
Description: partial 16S ribosomal RNA
Rfam family: Bacterial small subunit ribosomal RNA
Source: RNAcentral